GACGAACGCUGGCGGCGUGCUUAACACAUGCAAGUCGAACGGUAAGGCCCUUCGGGGUACACGAGUGGCGAACGGGUGAGUAACACGUGGGUGAUCUGCCCUGCACUUCGGGAUAAGCCUGGGAAACUGGGUCUAAUACCGGAUAGGACCACUGCCUACAUGGGUGGUGGUGGAAAGCUUUUGCGGUGUGGGAUGGGCCCGCGGCCUAUCAGCUUGUUGGUGGGGUGAUGGCCUACCAAGGCGACGACGGGUAGCCGGCCGGAGAGGGUGACCGGCCACACUGGGACUGAGAUACGGCCCAGACUCCUACGGGAGGCAGCAGUGGGGAAUAUUGCACAAUGGGCGCAAGCCUGAUGCAGCGACGCCGCGUGAGGGAUGACGGCCUUCGGGUUGUAAACCUCUUUCAGCACCGACGAAGCGCAAGUGACGGUAGGUGCAGAAGAAGGACCGGCCAACUACGUGCCAGCAGCCGCAGUAA
Molecule: ribosomal RNA, 478 nt
Filed under: uncultured bacterium
Lineage: Bacteria
Description: partial 16S ribosomal RNA
Rfam family: Bacterial small subunit ribosomal RNA
Source: RNAcentral